RNAcentral lists this ribosomal RNA (354 nucleotides) under uncultured bacterium. RNAcentral describes it as "partial 16S ribosomal RNA". It matches the Rfam family "Bacterial small subunit ribosomal RNA", at positions 338 to 684 of the family's 1533-position model. The record is from RNAcentral.
CCUACGGGAGGCAGCAGUGGGGAAUAUUGCGCAAUGGGCGAAAGCCUGACGCAGCGACGCCGCGUGAGGGAUGAAGGUCUUCGGAUCGUAAACCUCUGUCAGCAGGGAAGAACGGUCACUGUGCUAAUCAGCAGUGAAUUGACGGUACCUGCAAAGGAAGCACAGGCUAACUCCGUGCCAGCAGCCCCGGUAAUACGGAGGGUUCGAGCGUUAAUCGGAAUUACUGGGCGUAAAGCGCUGGUAGGCGGUAUCUCAAGUCAAGGGUGAAAUCCCCGCGCUCAACGUGGGAACUGCCUUUGAAACUGGCAAACUGGAGUGUGUGAGAGGAUAGUGGCAGUCCAGGUGUAGGAGUGA